RNAcentral lists this long non-coding RNA (785 nucleotides) under Oryctolagus cuniculus (rabbit). RNAcentral describes it as "lncRNA (ENSOCUG00000037392.1)". Lineage: Eukaryota; Metazoa; Chordata; Mammalia; Lagomorpha; Leporidae. The record is from RNAcentral.
AUGGAAAAUGAAACCAUCAGUGCCGGCGACAGGCUGCUGACCGGGCGGGAGAGAGCGCGUGGAGCGCCAGGGCUGUGGCUCCCGUCUGUGCCCUCCCCACGGGGGCCAGGCCACGGGCACGCCCUCGGGCAGCUCCCUCUGCCGGGCGCUGCACGGGGACUUCCUCCAGGGCUGGCCCAGGGCUGGCGGGAUCCCUGGACCUGGUUCUCAGACGGGCUCCUCUCGGCGAGCGUGGAAGGGAAGGCGGCCCUCGGCGGCAGCGACGUGGGCCUCAGCUCGCCCGGCUGGAUGCGUCUCAUCUGUGCACGCGCGCGGCUCACUGCUCACAGCUGCGGGGGCCAUGGGGGCGUUGUCACCACUUCAAGGAGGACACUGAGACUUGGGAGACUCCGGCUGUGCCUGGGCUCGCGGCCAGGAGCCAGGAGUGGGAUCCAGCGCCGCCCGCCUCCUCCUGCUGCCUCCACACUGGAUCCUACUGGCCCCAGGGUGUGGGCACAGCUUAGCCGGCCGCCUCUCGAGCCAUGAGUCCCCUUACAGGGGUGCACAGGCCACGUGUCCACGCAAGCCCCAGGUUCUGUGGCCUCACCACGCACGCACAAACACCAGCCUUGGGUGCUGACGGCAGGAGGCAGUGCACCUGCUCCUGGGGCUUCCCCAGGGGGAAUGGCUGGCCACCACUGACGUGGCUAAAGCGGUGUGACUGCUUGGCUGAGCUGUGGAGCCCAGAUAUCUGGUUCAACCUUUUUUUUAUUCCAGUUUGUUUGUUUGUUUUUUUUUUUUUUUUU